GUGGGGAAUCUUCCGCAAUGGACGAAAGUCUGACGGAGCGACGCCGCGUGAGUGAAGAAGGCCUUCGGGUCGUAAAGCUCUGUCAUCAGGGACGAACGGCCGGUGGAGUGGAAAGCCACCGGAUUGACGGUACCUGAGAAGGAAGCCACGGCUAACUACGUGCCAGCAGCCGCGGUAAUACGUAGGUGGCAAGCGUUGUCCGGAAUUAUUGGGCGUAAAGCGCGCGCAGGUGGGAUCUUAAGUCCAUUUUGAAAGUUCGGAGCUCAACUCCGUGAUGGGAUGGAAACUGGGAUUCUUGAGUACCGGAGAGGAAAGCGGAAUUCCCCGUGUAGCGGUGAAAUGCGUAGAUAUGGGGAGGAACACCAGUGGCGAAGGCGGCUUUCUGGACGGUGUCUGACACUGAGGCGCGAAAGCCAGGGGAGCGAACGGGAUUAGAAACCCCGGUAGUCC
Molecule: ribosomal RNA, 450 nt
Filed under: uncultured bacterium
Lineage: Bacteria
Description: partial 16S ribosomal RNA
Rfam family: Bacterial small subunit ribosomal RNA
Source: RNAcentral